UUCGCCUUCAUGAAGCCGGAAUUGCUAGUAAUGGCAGGUCAGCAUACUGCCGUGAAUGCGUUCCCGGGCCUUGUACACACCGCCCGUCACACCAUGAGAGUUGGGAAUACCCGAAGCCUGUGAGCUAACAUUAAGAGGCAGCACGUCGAAGGUAGAAUCAAUGACGUUGGGGUGAAGUCGUAACAAGGUAUC
Molecule: ribosomal RNA, 192 nt
Filed under: uncultured bacterium
Lineage: Bacteria
Description: partial 16S ribosomal RNA
Rfam family: Bacterial small subunit ribosomal RNA
Source: RNAcentral